This 756-nucleotide ribosomal RNA is filed under the name Escherichia coli. Its description in RNAcentral is "partial 23S ribosomal RNA". It matches the Rfam family "Bacterial large subunit ribosomal RNA", at positions 2043 to 2798 of the family's 2925-position model. Lineage: Bacteria; Pseudomonadati; Pseudomonadota; Gammaproteobacteria; Enterobacterales; Enterobacteriaceae. The record is from RNAcentral.
UGAACUCGCUGUGAAGAUGCAGUGUACCCGCGGCAAGACGGAAAGACCCCGUGAACCUUUACUAUAGCUUGACACUGAACAUUGAGCCUUGAUGUGUAGGAUAGGUGGGAGGCUUAGAAGUGUGGACGCCAGUCUGCAUGGAGCCGACCUUGAAAUACCACCCUUUAAUGUUUGAUGUUCUAACGUUGACCCGUAAUCCGGGUUGCGGACAGUGUCUGGUGGGUAGUUUGACUGGGGCGGUCUCCUCCUAAAGAGUAACGGAGGAGCACGAAGGUUGGCUAAUCCUGGUCGGACAUCAGGAGGUUAGUGCAAUGGCAUAAGCCAGCUUGACUGCGAGCGUGACGGCGCGAGCAGGUGCGAAAGCAGGUCAUAGUGAUCCGGUGGUUCUGAAUGGAAGGGCCAUCGCUCAACGGAUAAAAGGUACUCCGGGGAUAACAGGCUGAUACCGCCCAAGAGUUCAUAUCGACGGCGGUGUUUGGCACCUCGAUGUCGGCUCAUCACAUCCUGGGGCUGAAGUAGGUCCCAAGGGUAUGGCUGUUCGCCAUUUAAAGUGGUACGCGAGCUGGGUUUAGAACGUCGUGAGACAGUUCGGUCCCUAUCUGCCGUGGGCGCUGGAGAACUGAGGGGGGCUGCUCCUAGUACGAGAGGACCGGAGUGGACGCAUCACUGGUGUUCGGGUUGUCAUGCCAAUGGCACUGCCCGGUAGCUAAAUGCGGAAGAGAUAAGUGCUGAAAGCAUCUAAGCACGAAACUUGCC